UUCAAUUGGCAGUCACUCACAUUGUGUCAAAUUAUUCAAGCAAUUUACAGCAAUGCUAAAUCGGCGCUGUACAUUGCUUGAGUAACUUGAACACAAUAUGGUUGCAGCUUGCUUGGA
RNAcentral lists this microRNA precursor (117 nucleotides) under Picea abies (Norway spruce). RNAcentral's name for it is "miR11570c stem-loop (pab-MIR11570c)". Lineage: Eukaryota; Viridiplantae; Streptophyta; Pinopsida; Pinales; Pinaceae. The record is from miRBase by way of RNAcentral.